Molecule: ribosomal RNA, 253 nt
Filed under: uncultured bacterium
Lineage: Bacteria
Description: partial 16S ribosomal RNA
Rfam family: Bacterial small subunit ribosomal RNA
Source: RNAcentral
UACGGGGGGGGCAAGCGUUGUUCGGAAUUACUGGGCAUAAAGGGCUCGUAGGUGGCCAACUAAGUCAGACGUGAAAUCCCCAGGCUCAACUUGGGAACUGCGUCUGAUACUGGAUGGCUUGAAUUCGGGAGAGGGAUGCAGAAUUCCAGGUGUAGCGGUGAAAUGCGUAGAUAUCUGGAGGAAUACCGGUGGCGAAGGCGGCAUCCUGGACCGAUAUUGACACUGAGGAGCGAAAGCCAGGGGAGCAAACGGG